AACGUAGGACGCAAGCGUUAUCCGGAGUUACUGGGCGUAAAGCGCGGGCAGGCGGUUGCUCAAGUCUGAUGUGAAAUCUCUCCGCUCAACGGGGAGCAGCCAUUGGAAACUGGGCGACUGGAGUCUGGCAGAGGUAGGCGGAAUUCCGGGUGGAGUGGUGAAAUGCGUAGAGAUCCGGAGGAACACCAGAGGCGAAGGCGGCCUACUGGGCCAGAACUGACGCUGAGCCGCGAAAGCCAGGGGAGCGAACGGG
This 253-nucleotide ribosomal RNA is filed under the name uncultured bacterium. Its description in RNAcentral is "partial 16S ribosomal RNA". It matches the Rfam family "Bacterial small subunit ribosomal RNA", at positions 524 to 776 of the family's 1533-position model. The record is from RNAcentral.